AGUGAACGCUGGCGGUAGGCCUAACACAUGCAAGUCGAACGGCAGCACAGGAGAGCUUGCUCUCUGGGUGGCGAGUGGCGGACGGGUGAGGAAUACAUCGGAAUCUACUUUUUCGUGGGGGAUAACGUAGGGAAACUUACGCUAAUACCGCAUACGACCUACGGGUGAAAGCAGGGGAUCUUCGGACCUUGCGCGAUUGAAUGAGCCGAUGUCGGAUUAGCUAGUUGGCGGGGUAAAGGCCCACCAAGGCGACGAUCCGUAGCUGGUCUGAGAGGAUGAUCAGCCACGCUGGACCUGAGACACGGUCCAGACUCCUACGGGAGGCAGCAGUGGGGAAUAUUGGACAAUGGGCGCAAGCCUGAUCCAGCCAUACCGCGUGGGUGAAGAAGGCCUUCGGGUUGUAAAGCCCUUUUGUUGGGAAAGAAAUCCAGCUGGUUAAUACCCGGUUGGGAUGACGGUACCCAAAGAAUAAGCACCGGCUAACUUCGUGCCAGCAGCCGCCGUAA
Molecule: ribosomal RNA, 506 nt
Filed under: uncultured bacterium
Lineage: Bacteria
Description: partial 16S ribosomal RNA
Rfam family: Bacterial small subunit ribosomal RNA
Source: RNAcentral